This 399-nucleotide long non-coding RNA is filed under the name Malus domestica (apple). RNAcentral's name for it is "long non-coding RNA (MDOM_LNC006542)". The record is from RNAcentral. Lineage: Eukaryota; Viridiplantae; Streptophyta; Magnoliopsida; Rosales; Rosaceae.
GAGAACAUGGAAGUUGAGGAUGCACCAUUGGAUGAUUGAAACAUUAAUCCACUGUUGUUAUUUGUAGAAGAAACUGUGGAUGCUGCAAAAGUAAUAGGCGCACUGAUAGUAGUAGCAGUGGCAGACGAGGAUCCUCCAAAUACAAAAGGUGCACUGUUAGUAGUAGCAGUGGCAGACGAGGAUCCUCCAAAUACAAAAGGUGCACUGUUAGUAGUAGCAGUAGCAGUCGAGGAUCCUCCAAAUACAAAAGGCACACUGUUAGUGCUAGUAGUAGCAGCAGUGGAGGAUCCUCCGGAUACAAUAGGUGCACUGUUAGUAGCAGGAGCAGCGGAGGAUGAUACAUAAGAAAACCCAGUUGACGAAGAUGUAGAGUUGAAAGCGGUAGCAAAUACAGAAGAU